RNAcentral lists this non-coding RNA (104 nucleotides) under Bacillus sp. (in: firmicutes). Its description in RNAcentral is "Bacillus sp. SAM-I sequence". It matches the Rfam family "SAM riboswitch aptamer (S box leader)". From Rfam's summary of the family: The SAM riboswitch is found upstream of a number of genes which code for proteins involved in methionine or cysteine biosynthesis in Gram-positive bacteria. The record is from RNAcentral. Lineage: Bacteria; Bacillati; Bacillota; Bacilli; Caryophanales; Bacillaceae. RNAcentral also lists the same sequence under 1 other name.
UUCUUAUCAAGAGAGACGGAGGGACUGGCCCGAUGAUGUCUCGGCAACUGACUCACAGAGUGCGGUGCCAAAUCCAGCAAACAAUUUUGUUUGAAAGAUGAGAA